This 497-nucleotide ribosomal RNA is filed under the name uncultured bacterium. RNAcentral describes it as "partial 16S ribosomal RNA". It matches the Rfam family "Bacterial small subunit ribosomal RNA", at positions 28 to 507 of the family's 1533-position model. The record is from RNAcentral.
GAUGAACGCUGGCGGCGUGCCUAAUACAUGCAAGUCGAGCGAACGGACGAGAAGCUUGCGUCUCUGAUGUUAGCGGCGGACGGGUGAGUAACACGUGGAUAACCUACCUAUAAGACUGGGAUAACUUCGGGAAACCGGAGCUAAUACCGGAGAAUAUUUUGAACCGCAUGGUUCAAAAGUGAAAGACGGUCUUGCUGUCACUUAUAGAUGGAUCCGCGCUGCAUUAGCUAGUUGGUAAGGUAACGGCUUACCAAGGCAACGAUGCAUAGCCGACCUGAGAGGGUGAUCGGCCACACUGGAACUGAGACACGGUCCAGACUCCUACGGGACGCAGCAGUAGGGAAUCUUCCGCAAUGGGCGAAAGCCUGACGGAGCAACGCCGCGUGAGUGAUGAAGGUCUUCGGAUCGUAAAACUCUGUUAUUAGGGAAGAACAUCUGUGUAAGUAACUGUGCCCAUCUUGACGGUACCUAAUCAGAAAGCCACGGCUAACUACGUG